AUGACUACACUUUCAGGGGUAAUUUCUAUAGUUCCUGACUUGGGAAAUGUGUUUCUAUAUGGAGUUAAAUCCAUAUUUCUAGAGUGUAUGGUCUCGCUGACCACGAUAAUGAGUUGCGAUGUUCCCUUUUAAGCAUAAAACCAACAGACAACCAUGAUUUUGUCAUGUGUUUUCUGUCAUUGAUGAAUGUUCGUUAUUUCUUUUCAGAGCUUUGACAAAGGGAAUAUGACCUGAGUGUU
Oreochromis niloticus (Nile tilapia) is the source of this 239-nucleotide small nucleolar RNA. Its record names the gene U3. It matches the Rfam family "Small nucleolar RNA U3". From Rfam's summary of the family: Small nucleolar RNAs (snoRNAs) are involved in the processing and modification of rRNA in the nucleolus. Lineage: Eukaryota; Metazoa; Chordata; Actinopteri; Cichliformes; Cichlidae. The record is from Ensembl.